CCAUUUCAUUAUCCUAUCUGUUGGCCACAUUCAGAAAUGAAUUGAUGUCCUUUUGCCCCCACCCCAGGAAACAAGCAGACACAACAAAAUAUCAGUGACAGCAGCUUCCCAGUCGGCGAAGGCAAUCAGUUCUAAUCAGUUCUACUCCACUCUGGGUCAGGUCCACCCUCCGUCCAUUCAGCUCAACACUGAAUCUUUUGUGGUGGCACCAAGGACACAUUGAGGGGCAUGUCAGGAAAGAGACCCAUCUACGUUGACAGGAGUGGUGCGGCUAUCUAGCAAGAAAUAACUCACGGACAUGUCUCAAGAGAUAUAUUUGAGAUCCGACAGAAUCCAAAGGGGCCGCUGUCCAGGGUUCCAGAAGACCCCCACGCCACCACCUAUCCACUCUCGUUUCUGUUUCGAACCUUAUUCUGGAGGGUUCAGGAAAUGAGUCUGCAGACUGCACGAUAACGAUCAGAGACCACUUUGGUGAUGCACGCGGGAUGGGAAAGGGAGGCAUCACGAAGCUACGGGCAACUGUAGGAGGAAGUGCAGUGUUGCCCUGGGGUUACUGGCCACUCUGGAGGAGGCUCUCAAGGAGCGUGAGUCUUGCCCUGCACUGAGUUUGGAGGACUCCUACAAAAACACGGUGGGAACACGCCCAGAGCAGAUACUUGCCCACUGGACCACUGAGACUCCCAGACAAAACCCACCGUCAUUGGAUAGCAAAGCGUGGGCACAGACAGAAGCAAUGGGACCAAGAUCCCAGGUGGACCAAGGAUCCGAGUCAGGGCAUUCAUGGAGAAAAAAGACAUCAUCUUGGGAUGGCCCAAAGAGAGAGAUAUAAAGGGCAGGGAACAAUCCUGUUUUACAAGCAGUAGACUGAUACUAGACUUCUGUGCCCUACUUUGGCUCCAGCGUUUACAAAAUGACAUGAAGGAAACCGGUGAGGACCCAGAGGCCAGCGACAAGCACGAUUAAAGGGAUUGAAAAAAUGGUCCUCUGAAGCAAGAUGAAAGGAAAUAUGUUGUGUAUCCUGGAGAAAAAAGGUUAAGGGGUGACAGUGAUUGCAUUCAAAUACAGGUGGGGUUUGGGAGGGGGGCACAGAUCAAUUCUUCUCCACAUGCAAAGGGAGACUGAAGGGAAGUAACAGGCUUAAAUAAGAAGGUGGAGAGUUCAUUGGCUAGAAUGAACAAUGUAUGGAAGGGUACAAGCUAAUAGGGAUCUUGGAUUUUAACACGUCCAAAACAGAAUUUCUCUUCUCGUUCUUCCCCGCCCCCCACCCACACUCCCCCACUGCCCCUAAACUCCUGACACUCCUGAAGUCUUCCCUAUUUCAAUAAACAAUACCAACACUUACCCCGGCCAAGUAAAAAACCCUAGGGAUCAUUUACAUUUCCUUCCUUUCCCUACCCACCCCCAACCCAGUCCCUCAGUAGGUCUUGUCAGCUUUACUUCUGAGUUUGACUACUGAUUUCUAUUUCCACUGUCACCUUGCCAGUCGCAUUGCUGUCACCUGCUUGGACCCAAGCCAGGAGGAUCCUUGUAUCUUCCUUUAAUCCGUUCUCCCUAUGACUGUUUUUAGAACAUGAAUCAGACCCUGUUAUUCCCUGGCUCAACCGUAUCCAAAGACUUCCCAUCAUGCUUGGAACAAAACUCAUACUCUUUACCACGGCCUUUGAAGUCCUGCCUCCACCGGCUUCCUGCCCGCUGUCCUCAUCCAUCCCUCUCUCCCUGCCACUCACGUUGGCCACACUGACUUUCUGGCUGUUCCUGAACAAGCCACUGCUCGUCUAUCUUUGCACCAGCUGCCCCCUCCGCCUGGAACACUCUCGCCCUUGCUCUUUAGUUGGCUGGUUCUGUUUUGUCAUUCUGGUCUCGGCUUGAGUGCCACUUCUGCAGACUUCUUCCAGCCACUAGAAAUGUACGCUCUGAGGGUAGAAAGUAGAAACUAUCUUCUUCAUGAUGGUAUUUUCAAGCCUCGAACAGGCACCUGACACAUUGGGAUUCUGAGAUCGUGGCUACCUUUGUGGUGAAGAAGACAACCGAGUCUGUUGGAAGUUGAGAAUUCUCUGGGUGUGUGCAUCUAUCGGGAGAGCAGGUGCCACAAAUCUGUGACUUGGGACUCAGAUCAAGGAACCUUACACCAAGGACAGACUCUGAACUAACCUCGAUU
Lutra lutra (Eurasian river otter) is the source of this 2158-nucleotide long non-coding RNA. RefSeq lists it as uncharacterized. The transcript has 3 exons. The record is from RefSeq and is a predicted model, not a curated record. NCBI's taxonomy places the organism in Eukaryota, Metazoa, Chordata, Mammalia, Carnivora, Mustelidae.